Molecule: long non-coding RNA, 6803 nt
Organism: Lutra lutra (Eurasian river otter)
Lineage: Eukaryota; Metazoa; Chordata; Mammalia; Carnivora; Mustelidae
Exons: 12
Source: RefSeq, a predicted model, not a curated record
GGGCCCCGAGCGGAUUUCCACGCGGAGAGGGUGUUGGCAGUCCCGGCGACCUGCCGAGACACAGCGGGAUCCACCUUCCAAUGAGAGGCCUGAGGGUUAGAGAGGUUGCAGAUGUGCCCAGGUGCCCACAGCUGGUUCAUGGUGGGAACCUGCAAUGGCAUAGCCUGUAGGCAGGAGGGUGCCACACCAGCGUGGAGAGGACCUCUGGGGUGUUGCUGGAGACCACAGGUGGAGUGAAGUCCUCACUCAGUGUGUGGAUGUGGGGUUGGAGACACAGCUGGAGGUCACAUGCCAGGCUCGCCUCCCUUCCCUGCCCCCAGCAGAUUCUGAGUUGCUGGGCCUGAUCUUUGGACCAGAAAGGAAUGAAAAAGUUGCCCCUUACGAUGGCUGUGCCUUGUCAGUUGCUUGAAGCUGCGUUCAGGGAUUUCCUGAGCCUUAUGGAUUUACAGUGACAUUCAGCUGCCCAAGAAUGACGGCGGAGGAAGCAUGGUCUGGAAUCACACGCACCUGGCACAUGUUUGGAUGUUAAUGGCAGUUUUCAGGAAGACCAUGGCUGAUUGCCUGGCAGAUCCCUGCACCUGGACACCUGUGGGGGACAGAGGACCGUGGCUUCCUGUGAUGCCUGGGAUCUCUGCCCUGUGUCUGCACGAGCAUGGCUUGGGUCACUACCAGCCUCACUGAGGGUGCCUGUGAAAGAAUCCCAUCAUACCUUGGAUUUUGGCGCUGUCAGUCUGAAAAGCAGAUGUACCUGUUUGGUACUCUAGAGGGAAUGUCCUUCCCUGAAUGAAAAAAGCUGGGCCAUUUGGGGAUUUGGAGAAUAAAGGUUGUCAGGCUGUGAUUUCAGCGGAGUCCUGAGCUCCUGUGGAGAUUUGCCUCUAUCCAGCCUUGGGCUAUCUGCAUUCCUGAACAUCUCUGGGCCCAGAAGGAAAAGAAGAAUGCUGACCAGCUCUGGAGAUGGCCUGAAUGAGGAGAGAUGCCCCCCACCCAUCCUCCACCUUGUCCUGGCACAGAGAGGCUGUCCUAUGUGGGUGCAACAGGAUGGAUGCCACACGGGGCUCCUGGGCCCUGUUUGGGAGAUGGAACAACCAGGUCCAGUGCUUUCCUCCCCCAUCAUCAAAUUAACACGUGGACUCUGUGGCCGUGGCCUUCAGCCUCCAGUCCACAAAGGACAAGAGACAUGGAGCAGAUUCUGAAUUCACAGCUCGUAUGGAGUGGAGUGCGGACAUGCCCGCCUGGUACCAGCCAGCCCCCAGCUGACAGCAGACAUGUGAGAAGUCCAGCUCGGGUCUCCCUGGGUUAAAAUCAAGGAACACAGGCCUGCCUCCUUCUGCGGCUCCGGGGGAUAAGUGUUCUUGCUUCUCAGAGCCGGUGACCUAACCCCGUCUGUGCCUUUCUUGCAUAGUCACGUCUAACCCUGACUGCUUCUCUCUUCUGCCUCCCUCUCCCAUUUUUGGAUUCUUCUGAUUAUAUUGGGCCCACAGAAAUCAUGCACGAUAAUCUUUCUAUUUUAACGUCGCCACAUUCACUUUCUUUUCCUCUGCCACUUGAAUCUGCAUUUGCCGGGCAACUUAAAUAGUCACAGGCUUCAGGGAUUAGGGUGUGGGCUGCUUCGGGAGGUGGCGAGUCUGCAAACCACUGCACGCCUGGCACUUACAAUGGGGCUUUUCGUGCUCCAAGGACUUUCUAUCCACUGGUAUGAUUGUCGGCCUUAGCGUUCCCAUUCGUGACGUGAGAUGAGAGGCGCUCUCAUCUGACGCCCACACGGGCUCCUCAGGCAGGCUUUGUUGGGCCGGGCAUGGAGAAAUAUUCCAUCCCUUGGUCCUAGGUGAGUGGAGACAGUGGGUUUAGGAGACAGGAAGGGGGUGAGGUCAGUUUCCUAACUGGCUUUGGAGCAGCCCAGAGGUUCUCCAGGGCGAUGAUAAUGCUCCUGAUUAAUUAUCGUUGCAAGUCUCCUGUUGUCCUCACUGUCCGUCAGCAUAGCCCCCUGCUCGGGACUGGCUGAGUGACCAGAAGGGCUGGGGGAAGUCGCGAGGGCCAGCCCCUAUCUCCACGUGCCCAGCUGGUUCCGUCCUCGCGCUCGACAGGUCCUUCUGAUCUUCCCACAUACAAUGGAUUACAGGGAAAAAGAAACUUCCUGGCCUGCCUGAUACCAGCUCGGAGGAAGUCACUGGCUUCAGUGGGACAAGGAAACAAACCCCAAUGACAGUGAUAACCUCUCGCCAGUCUUCUGCGUGAACGGAGAAGCUGCUGGGUGGCUGCAGGACACGUUCAGAGGUGUUGGUUGAGUGUGAGUUCUUACAAAAGGGGAGUUUGAAUUCAGUAUGUCAGCACAGAGUGGGAACAGGGUGGGACUAACCAGUAGGAGAGAUGCCCAGGCUUGGGGGUUCCUGGGUUUUGGAGGUUCCAUUGGAAACUUACUGUAUGGCCACCAGAAAGCAGGGACGGGCUCAGCCCCACAGUCUUUAUGGUGGCAAAGUGGUGUUCCCUGGGCGUCCCUCCGUCAAAAGUAGAUGCUAGGCAACGACUGGUGCGGCAUCCAAAGCCACAGAGAGUCAUGGACAGAAGUGGACGGUUCUUUGGACAUCACCAAGCUUGCUUUGGGGACACGAGGCCCAGAGAGGUGACAUACAGUCCACAGUCACACGGCUGUUUAGGAGUAAGCCAGGUCCUAGAACCAACCUCAGGUCCUUCCCUCCUUUUCCACGGGGCCUUCCAUGCUGCCAUCUUUGUUCCCGUCCCCUGUUGACGGAAGCACCUCCAGUCUGCCUCAGCCCUGCAGUUGCCCUCUCCUCCAAGCUAGUUCCAUGGCGGCUUCCAUGGCCAGCAGCCUUUUGCCACAUCUGUGAGGCAUCCUGCCGUUCCAUGUGACAGACUCUGACAGCAGGGCUCCUUUAUUUCGCUAUCUAUGCACUCCAUGGUGGUACAGCAUCACUGUGGGCCAGGAACGUGGGGUCCAGCUUUGCCAGGCAAAGAGGUUCAGGGUAGGGGGAAUGCAGUGUCAGGGUUUCUUUUGUCUGUCAGCUCAGUGGGCCAUGGUGUCCACCUCCAAGUGAGUGUGCACGCGCAUGCUAUGACUUCCCUUCCCUGGAGAAGCCUGAGUAGUACCCGCAGUGAGAACGAGACCGAUGUGGGUCCACGUCCAAGAACCACCACUGCCUGGGGAGGCUUAUUUGCUCGCAUCACCGGGCUUUAGUCUCUUUGUGGGUAAGUUGGAAAAAGUAUGAGCACAUGCUAGGCGAGCGAGCAGAGAUACAGACAAACAGGACAAUAAACACAGAGAGCUUCCUAGGCUGUCUGGCAUUGUGCUCAACAAAUAACGUUGCUCAUUGUAAAAUUGUACUUGUCUGAGAGCCCCAUAGGUACAUGACCCAGUUGUCUGUACGGCAAACCACCCCUGACCUUAGUGGCUUAAAACCAGGACCGUUUAUCCUUCUCAGUCUUGUAGGGUGGCUGAGCCCUGCCGGGAGUUUCUUCGGCCACACUCGGAGUCCGUGUGGCUGCGUUCCCGGGGGAGCUCUGUGAGGCUUCCCUCACACAGCUGGGGCCUCUGCUGGGAUGACGGCAGCACCUGGGGGCUCGCCCUUUCUCUGCCAUCUCGCCAUCGUCGUCCAGCCCGACGUUCUUGACACCGCGGCAGCUGGACCCCCCCGCCUGGUCUCCUGGGGCAAGGCGCAGAAUGCUCAGGACCUCACUCCCUUUCAGUUCUCCUGCUCAGGGGGUCCCAGGUCAGCCCAGAGUCCGGGGCAGGAGAAAUCAAGGCCGGCACGGGAUGGGGAAACAGCGCACGUGGACAGAAGUGGGAGGGGUUCUCGGCCACCCGCACUGGACACCCCAACCCCAGCGCGCAAGCUGCUUUCAGAGUUGAUGACUCUCAACUUCGAUGGCUCCCGUCCUGGCUUAUCUGUGAUCAUCUAGUGAGUCUCAGCAGGGGCUUGGGGACGGCCAUCUUGUUCCAGAGCCUGCCUCUGCCGCAGACUGACUGGGUGACAAGUUUCCUGUUUCCACGACUCAGGCUCCUCUUCAGGAAGAUGGGGACGAUACUGGUACUAAAGUAGAGCUUGUGUGAGGAUAUGCCUGUGUGUACGCACGUGGGUGUGCGUGUACACAUAUGCGUGUGUGUUGAGUGCACAUGCAUUUGUGCACAUGCAUACACACACCUAAGAGUGCCUGUCUGUAUUUGUGUGUAUACGUGUACACGUACAUAUGAAUGCACAAUCUCUGUGUGUGUAUGAAAUUUAGUACAUCACUUUUUUUUAAAGAAUUUUAUUUAUUUAUAUAUUUGAGAGAGAGCGUGAGCAAGAGAGCGCAGGGGGAGGAGCAGAGGGAGAGGGGCAAGCAGACUCCACAGUGAGCAUGGAGCCUGAUGCAGGGCUCCAUCCCAUGACUCUGAGAUCAUGACCGAGCCGAGAUCAACAGUCAGACACUUAACCAGCUGCUCCACUUAAGUGCCCAGAGUGCCUCGAUUCUAAGGUUAUUUCCUUGUGCGUACAUCUUUGCAGCCUGCCUUGCCCUGGGCCUGGGUCAUGUUUCUGAGAAAAUUUUAAAGUUGGACAUGAGAGCUGGUGCCCAGCUGGAAUUUGGACUGAGCCCUUUCCAGGCCCAUGCCUGGUACCCUCACUCUAGGAGCAGCUAGAGUGUCUCAAGGACCUAGCCUGUCCUUGAGAAGCAGAGUGUCAGCAGGUCCUGGUGAGAUAUGGACCCUCCUCAGCCCCAUCCCAGUCCUGCUUGCCCAGUUGCUCUGGGGUGAUCUGCCUGGGACCCACACUCUGCCGCUUCUGCUGGUGGCUUGUCCCCCGGCUACCACCUUCAUUCUCUGAUUCAGUCGCUUUCCUGUUUUCUUUCAGAAAAACCCAGUACUUUCUACUUACACACAGUUGGGAUCUUGGGAGGGUGAGGGGGUGAAGCAAAGCACAGGGCUGGUUUCAUAUUUGGAGUUUCAGUCCAAUUAAACUUUCCCACACCACCAAGGAAGAUGUGGUCUCCUUGCUUCACCUUUUCCAGGCUGAGCCAAGGUCAGGGUUAGCUCUGGGUGGCCAGACCACCCUGGGCCUCCAACCCUGCCUUUCGUAAUGAGCUGAUUCUCCCCAAGGUACAAUUCUGGGCAAUGUGACCCUGUUUCGUUGUUCCCUGAGUCUUCCCACUAGGGAGAAAAAAAACCAAAAAAACAAAAACAAAAAAACAACUGUCAUUUAUUGAAUAUAUAUGCUUUAUACAUAUGUUGCUGUAAUUAUUACCCUGCAGGAAAGAUACCAUUAUCCUGAAAGUAGGAAAUAAUAAACAAUUUCCAGAAGGAGCCAGCAUUUAAACCUUUGUCCACCUCACUGGAAAGCCUUUUCUCUUCCAUAUGGCAGAGGUGAGAUGUAUGUAGGUUUUUUAUUCAAGGCCAUAGGUCCUAAAUACUUCCCUUUAACAAAUGUCAACAAAAUUACACAGAGAAAGUGUCUCCAAUGUAAAAUGUACAGACUACCCUCGGGGUUACAAACACUGUGUUCCAGAAAGUCAGGAGCUGCCUUGGUGUUGGCCGAGUUGGAAGGCACAGAAGCGGGGAGGCUGGCCAGGGUGUGGUGACGGGGAGUCACACUGCUCACUGUCUUUCUCUGUGGAGUCUUUCUGUUGUAAACAUGUUUUCUUCCCCAUCCUUUGGCAUCCAUCAAGAUUGAAAUUCCAGGUUGUCAACCCUUGUAGGAAGGGGUUCAGAUCUUGGCAUUAAGUUAUUCCCGUCGUGUGUGCAGAGCUUUGCCACUAAAGAACGCUUCCCGAAACUUAACUGCUCCACACAGUGGCCCAGAGAGGACGUUGGCCUUGUGGACAAGAAAGACAAAGGCCAAGGGCCUCGAGUUGAGCCCAAACACCAGGCUGCUCCCAGCUCCCAGGAGUCCUCCGUCCAGUAGACUGUUAGCCGAGCGUAUGCGCAGUCACUGAGGCUGCUUCAUGUUCUGGGACAGGAUCUCUGCCUUCCCCAGGAUCUGAUGGUCCCUCUGCAAAUACGGUGGGACAUCCACCCCUGCGUGCACUGACGUGUUCACCUGACCAGCCCUCCCCAACGAAAUCGGGGCCCCGUCAGCCUCACGGACCUCCCUCUGCAGCGCACGCCCCAGAGCCUGGCGUGUGGCGGACUCUCCCCACGGAGGCGCCUGUUGAAUGAACACAUAGUCCUUCUGCUUUACCAAAGCCAAGCGGCUUUGGAGAAUUGAACUCCUGUCCGGCCACCAGCUGUCCUUCAUUUCUUCUCAUAAAUCACCGACACGAUUCCUGGCAGUGGUGGCCUCGGUCCGCAAACAGCCUUGUCCACAAUGUGCCCAACACGUUGGAAACCUUCUCUUCCCGCAGCUCGGGAUAGAGAACGCAGUCCUGGGGUAGAGUGUGAGAGAAACUGCCUCAGAGAUGUUAAGUAACUCAGCAGAGGUCACACAGCUAAGGGACACAGAGGAACCGUACCAAGCAGUGAAGGCCAUUUUUCAUCACUGCUGUCCUCCACGAGCUUACGUCUGGAAUGGGAGGCAUCUUUGCACUAAUUGAACGGGUUGGAUGGAGCCCAGAAACACUUGACACAGGUAGCAUUGACCCAGACAGAAGUGAAUCCUUGUGUCCAGUGACUAGAAGACACACGAACCUGGAAAAAGGAGCCCAGGGAGAUUGCUGUGUUUCCCCCACAUAGGAGAACACCCACCCCCUCCUGCCCCUCGCCCGUAACACAUGACACAUUUAGCAGUGAUUUGGUCACUGCUGAGCUAUCUUCAUUUAAUGUGAUUUUGGCAGAAGAGUUGGUCUGGAAAUUGUAUUUCAAUUAAACUUCCUGUUGA